UGGGGAAUCUUGCGCAAUGGGCGAAAGCCUGACGCAGCCAUGCCGCGUGUAUGAUGAAGGUCUUAGGAUUGUAAAAUACUUUCACCGGUGAAGAUAAUGACUGUAGCCGGAGAAGAAGCCCCGGCUAACUUCGUGCCAGCAGCCGCGGUAAUACGAAGGGGGCUAGCGUUGCUCGGAAUUACUGGGCGUAAAGGGAGCGUAGGCGGACAUUUAAGUCAGGGGUGAAAUCCCGGAGCUCAACUCCGGAACUGCCCUUGAUACUGGGUGUCUUGAGUGUGAGAGAGGUAUGUGGAACUCCGAGUGUAGAGGUGAAAUUCGUAGAUAUUCGGAAGAACACCAGUGGCGAAGGCGACAUACUGGCUCAUUACUGACGCUGAGGCUCGAAAGCGUGGGGAGCAAACAGG
Molecule: ribosomal RNA, 404 nt
Filed under: uncultured bacterium
Lineage: Bacteria
Also listed under: 1 other name
Description: bacterial SSU rRNA
Rfam family: Bacterial small subunit ribosomal RNA
Source: RNAcentral